This 253-nucleotide ribosomal RNA is filed under the name uncultured Trichosporon. RNAcentral describes it as "partial large subunit ribosomal RNA". It matches the Rfam family "Eukaryotic large subunit ribosomal RNA", at positions 37 to 282 of the family's 3401-position model. Lineage: Eukaryota; Fungi; Basidiomycota; Tremellomycetes. The record is from RNAcentral.
UGCAUAUCAAUAAGCGCGGAGGAAAAGAAACUAACAAGGAUUCCCCUAGUAACGGCGAGUGAAGCGGGAAGAGCUCAAAUUUGAAAUCUGGCAGUCUUCGAUUGUCCGAGUUGUAAUCUAUAGAGGCGUUUUCCGUGCCGGACCGUGUCCAAGUCUCCUGGAAAGGAGUAUCAAAGAGGGUGAUAAUCUCGUACUUAACACGACCACCGGUGCUCUGUGAUACGUCUUCUACGAGUCGAGUUGUUUGGGAAUA